This 49-nucleotide ribosomal RNA is filed under the name Pluteus nevadensis. RNAcentral describes it as "partial 28S ribosomal RNA". Lineage: Eukaryota; Fungi; Basidiomycota; Agaricomycetes; Agaricales; Pluteaceae. The record is from RNAcentral.
UUACACAGGUCGUCAAGCUCCAACUGUCUUUAAUUGCAAAUUGACCUCA